GGAUUAUGAUGUUUGACCUUUCAGACCAUUUUAAAGUCUCAUAGAUAUUUGAUAAGGAUUCCUUAUUGGUAAGUAGAAAAUUAAUUAUGUCAUAUUCCACCUGUUGAUUCUGAAGUUACUGUGUGCAAAGAUAUUGGUGAAGUGGUUAAAUUUACCAGACCUAGGUUCAAAUUUCAUUUCCCAGGAGAGAGGAAAUGGUGUAAGUUCCAUUUUAAACAACUCAAAGUUUUGGGCAGGAUAUUGGUGAGUGGCCGUUUCAAGCCUUCAUAACAAUCGUUG
Molecule: unclassified non-coding RNA, 279 nt
Filed under: Hevea brasiliensis (rubber tree)
Lineage: Eukaryota; Viridiplantae; Streptophyta; Magnoliopsida; Malpighiales; Euphorbiaceae
Source: RNAcentral